This 253-nucleotide ribosomal RNA is filed under the name uncultured bacterium. RNAcentral's name for it is "partial 16S ribosomal RNA". It matches the Rfam family "Bacterial small subunit ribosomal RNA", at positions 524 to 776 of the family's 1533-position model. The record is from RNAcentral.
UACGUAGGGUGCAAGCGUUGUCCGGAAUUAUUGGGCGUAAAGAGCUCGUAGGCGGUCUGUCGCGUCGGCUGUGAAAACUCGGGGCUCAACCCCGAGCCUGCAGUCGAUACGGGCAGACUAAAGUGCUGUAGGGGAGACUGGAAUUCCUGGUGUAGCGGUGAAAUGCGCAGAUAUCAGGAGGAACACCGGUGGCGAAGGCGGGUCUCUGGGCCGAUACUGACGCUGAGGAGCGAAAGCGUGGGGAGCGAACAGG